CUACGGAGGGUGCAAGCGUUGUCGGGAUUUAUUGGGUUUAAAGGGUGCGUAGGUGGUUUUUUAAGUCAGUGGUGAAAGCCUACAGCUUAACUGUAGAGGUGCCAUUGAAACUGGGGAACUUGAGUAUGGACGAGGUAGGCGGAAUUUGUGGUGUAGCGGUGAAAUGCAUAGAUACCACAAAGAACACCGAUAGCGAAGGCAGCUUACUAGGCCAUAACUGACACUGAGGCACGAAAGUGUGGGGAGCGAACAGGAUUAGAAACCCCGGUAGUCC
This 274-nucleotide ribosomal RNA is filed under the name uncultured bacterium. RNAcentral's name for it is "partial 16S ribosomal RNA". It matches the Rfam family "Bacterial small subunit ribosomal RNA", at positions 523 to 796 of the family's 1533-position model. The record is from RNAcentral.